UUGACCUCGGAUCACGUAGG
Molecule: ribosomal RNA, 20 nt
Filed under: Pleospora sp. r262
Lineage: Eukaryota; Fungi; Ascomycota; Dothideomycetes; Pleosporales; Pleosporaceae
Description: partial 28S ribosomal RNA
Source: RNAcentral